This is a long non-coding RNA of Bombus huntii, 202 nucleotides long. RefSeq lists it as uncharacterized. Lineage: Eukaryota; Metazoa; Arthropoda; Insecta; Hymenoptera; Apidae. The record is from RefSeq and is a predicted model, not a curated record. The transcript has 2 exons.
CAAACUCAAGUUUUCCAGAAGUCUGUUGAGUGAGAUCAUCAGAUUCCCCUGUCUUCUGUGUAAAAUCCUCUAAUUGUUGAUCGGCACCCUGUGGUUUCCAAGGUAGAUAAGAUUGUUGCGAAUCCUGACCAAACUCAAGUUUUCCAGAAGUUUGUUGAGUGAGAUCAUCAGAUUCCCCUGUCUUCUGUGUAAAAUCCUCUAA